This is a long non-coding RNA of Ictalurus punctatus (channel catfish), 3327 nucleotides long. NCBI's taxonomy places the organism in Eukaryota, Metazoa, Chordata, Actinopteri, Siluriformes, Ictaluridae. The record is from Ensembl.
UAGUCCAGAUGACUCCGAAGUCACUGAGGGCCUUAUUCAGGGUAGCUGACUUCAGUUUAAAUGGGAAGGGGAAUGCUCCUUGUGAUCAGAGGCAGGUUAUUUGAAUUGACUUCCUGGUCAUCCUUUUCAGGUUUUGAAAACCAGUUGAAAAUCUGGUUGGCAGGAAGUUAAGAACACUCCAGAUUUUCCCAAUGGGUAUCAUGGUGGCAACACUUCGAGAAGGUCAGCCCAGACUUCACUAUCUCAGGCCACAGUUUCCAGCUCCUCCUGGAGGAUCUCCAUUAGAUAGUUAGAUCCCCACUAAGUUAGAUGUACCUGAUACAACGCGCCCAAAUAUACAGUCAGGUCCAUAAAUAUUUGGACAGCGACACAAUUUGGGUGAUUUUGCUUCUGUACACCUCCACAAUGGAUGAAGCAAUCGAGUUUAGCUUUAAUUCAAGGGGUUUAACAAAAACAUUGCAUUAACCCAUUAAUUACAGCCGUCUUUUACAUAGACCCUCCAUUUCCACAGGUCAAAAGUAAUUCGACAAACUGAUAUAAUCAUAAAUAUUAGGAUUGAUAUUUACUUGGAUACAAACCCUUUGCCAUCAACCCAUGGACAUCAGUAAAUGCUGAGUUUUCUCCCUUGAGAUGCGUUGCCAGGUCUUUACCCUAUCCGCCUUGAGUAGCUGCUUGUUUGUGGGUCUUUCUGCCUUCAGUUUUGUCUUCAGUAAGUGGAAAGCAUGCUCAUUUGUGUCGAGGUCAUCGGACAUUUGAGAACAUUUAACUUCUUCUCAUCUUGAAUGUUUCAUUUCAGACCCAUCGGGGUGGUGUAACGUACAGAGGUAAAGUUACGGAAAUUGUGUGACUGUCCAAAUAAUUAUGAACCCGACUGUGCGUCUAAUCCGGCAGAGGAAUGGCCGCAGAACGAAAAUAAAAACCAGGAUUUUGCGAUGACCAGUUACUGCUGAAAACCCGAGCACUUGUGAAAAAUGUGACAAUACAGAGGUGCUCAGACUCUCGUUGAGAAGAGAAGAGAAGAGAAGAGAGACUUCAGCAAAAUAUUGUUUACUUAUAAAACUCCAGUCCUCAACCCCCAGAUUGGAAAUGUCACGUGUAGGCAUUGUAUUAUUUUUUUUUUUUCAGACAUGACGUAUGGAACUGUCUCCUGCGAUGUCAGUUUCACUUGAAUCCAUGUUGUGGAAUGCUUUCCUCCUGAUGUUUUAAAUUAAAUCUUUCUAGCUCAAUAUGCUUUUGAUGAAAGAAAUCGGCCUGUUGGUCCAAGGACCUUUUAUAUAACCGGUUUCUAAUGAUCUGAUCGAAUAACCCCGUUAAAAGCCAAGGAACCAUUUGAAGAGCCGUUAAGGAAGCCUUUAUGGUGAGUGUGGGAGACAAUUUUGAUCAGCACUCGUAUCUCAGAUCGAUGCUUUUUCAUCAGAUCUAGGAAAGUUGAUCAAAGGGAAGAAACCCAUCUCCAACUGUCUCCACUUUAAACCCAUAAAUUACAUUUCUAGCCUGUGGUUUCUCUCGACAUCUGGACCCGCUGCGGUGUUUACUGUGGCAACUGUUGGCUCUUGUUUUAGAGAAACAUUCAUGACACGAGUUCUGAGCCAUCGCUAUGGACCCAUGACGUGCGUUGGCAGAGGGGAAACCAGGCUCUCCACUUGCUGCCAAAAACCUGUUCCUGGAACUGAGGUCUUAAGCAAAAAGAGCAAGAAGAUGCUGAGCAAAAACGUGCAGCGUGCAGUCUUGGUUUUCGAGCAUGUUAGGAACACCAGUAAGCAUGUCAGUACCCGAAGCUCUUGUCUCUGCAGUACUAGAAGCUCUUGUCCUUGUUUCUGUGUCAUAUUGGCCAUAACAACAGAAACGUAGGAAUAUUUGAGAAAAUAAAAUCGGAAAACGUCAAGUGCAUCCAAAAACCACCCACUGUCACUGUAUUUCCAUUCUUGGAAUUCAGAAGUGAUCCCUCGGUUUCCUUCUUUUCCCUUCUACAGUCUCUUGCAGGUUAUCCACUGUCUGGAAAGAAGCUGAAAUCAGGAAGGCUUUAAGUUCAUGGUCCAGUCCUGGAUCUGAUCUUCACAUACUACCGAGACCGGCUCUGCCGAGCGUACUACCUGGAUCGGUUCUGAUCAGCGUUAUGAUAGUUUUAAUACUCACUAAACACACUGCUGUGUGGCUAUGGGUCAUAAUAGCAUUGUAGAUAAACAUGUCACAGACUUCUGUCUGUUAUUUGUCUGGCUUGUUUGUCUGAUAAGUAGCUUAGUUUUGAGUAAUUUGCUUCAUAUAAAUACUUAACAAGUCGCUUUAAUUUUUUAUUUAUUUAUUUAUUUAUUUUUUUUAGAUAUGUUGGUUUGGAGAAGUUGCUUUAGCGUUUACUGUUAUGUAGAUAAAUAUAAUUAUUCUAUAAUUGAAUAUGUUUCUAUUAUAUUCUAUAAUGAAAAGAAGAUAUAAUCCUCUUUCUGGUAAGUUGCUUGUGACUCAAUAAAAAAAAAUUAUUAGUCUGUUUUUUUUUUAUACAAUGCUUAGGAAAUUUUGUUUUUCUUUUAAUGAACUGCAUGGAACAUUUUGCUUUCUGGAUAAGUUUCUAGGUUUAAUAAGUUUGUUUUGUAAAUUUUUUUGGCAUAGGUUUUUUUUUUUUUUUUCAUAAGUCGCCUGAGAGAGUUUUUUUUUUUCUUGCGAAGGAGCUUUUUCUGAUUCAUUGGUUAAGUUGUUGUUGUUUUUAAGAAGUUGGAUAAGAUGCUAUGCUUUAUUAUAAGCUGCUCUGGAAUUUUUGUAGUUUUUUUUCCUUAGGUAAAAGUUUUUUUCCCUUUCAUACAGUAUAUGGCUUUUUGGAUAUGUUGGUUUUCCUUAAUAAGUCACUUGGGAUAAGUCGUUUGCCUUUUAUAAGUUGUUGGGGAUAAGUUGCUUGUCUUUUAUAAGUUGUUGGGGAUAAGUUGCUUGUCUUUUAUAAGUUGUUGGGGAUAAGUCGUUUGCAUUUUAUAAGUUCUCAGGAUAAGUCGUUUGCCUUUUAUAAGUUUCUCGGAUAAGUCGUUUGCCUUUUAUAAGUUGUUGGGGAUAAGUUGCUUGUCUUUUAUAAGUUGUUGGGGAUAAGUUGCUUGUCUUUUAUAAGUUGUUGGGGAUAAGUUGCUUGUCUUUUAUAAGUUGUUGGGGAUAAGUCUUUGCCUUUUAUAAGUUGUUGGGGAUAAGUCGCUUGUCUUUUAUAAGUUGUUGGGGAUAAGUCUUUUGCAUUUUAUAAGUUUCUCGGGAUAAGUUGCUUGUCUUUUAUAAGUUUUUGGGGAUAAGUCUUUUGCCUUUUAUAAGUUUUGGGGCGAUAAGUUGCUUGUCUUUUAUAAGUUGUUGGGGAUAAGU